GAUGAAGAACGUAGCGAAAUGCGAUACGUAAUGUGAAUUGCAGAAUUCAGUGAAUCAUCGAGUCUUUGAACGCACAUUGCGCCCGCCAGUAUUCUGGCGGGCAUGCCUGUUCGAGCGUCAUUUCAACCAUCAAGCCCCCGGCUUGUGUUGGGGACCUGCGGCUGCCGCAGGCCCUGAAAACCAGUGGCGGGCUCGCUAGUCACUCCGAGCGUAGUAAUACAUCUCGCUCAGGGCGUGCUGCGGGUUCCGGCCGUUAAAAAGCCUUAUUUACCCAAGGUUGACCUCGGAUCAGGUAGGAAGACCCGCUGAACUUAAGCAUAUCAAUAAGCGGAGGA
Molecule: unclassified non-coding RNA, 335 nt
Filed under: soil metagenome
Description: partial contains 5.8S ribosomal RNA, internal transcribed spacer 2, and large subunit ribosomal RNA
Rfam family: 5.8S ribosomal RNA (bases 1-120)
Source: RNAcentral